UUAGCGUAAGAGCAGAAAUUCCUAACCGGCGGCUAUAGAAUAGAAGCGGCGGCUUUUUUAAGGGAAAAGCCCAAGUCAGGGGGAGAGACCUGCUUUUAGAAGCAAGCAGAAGCUGCAGCGCUAUCUACUGUAGAUUAAUGAUACUUCUCUAAUACCAGCAAUUGCCCUCCAGGAAGAUAUCAUAUUACACCGGAGUCUCUUCACGCAGACACAAAACAGUUCUCUGUUGCUCACUCCGAUUAUGAAGAGAGAACUGAAGUGACAUCAAAUCACUCACUCCGAUUCCGAUCAUAUCAGAGCCCUAACCACUCCGAUCAGAUCAGCUUCUCUAUUUCUCCGAUCGAUUUCGCUAUGGCGGCGGAGAAACCGUUCAAGAGUAUAUUGAAAUCGCUUGAGAAGCCGGACGGCGGCGAGUUCGGAGUACUACAGCUUGCCAGCUCUCAAUGGUCCUAGGAUAAGCUACCGUACUCCAUUAAGAUCCUUCUUGAGUCUGCAAUCUAUAACUGCCAAGAGUUUCAGGUUAAGAGUCUUACAAGUCCCGGUUUAAGUUAUUGAAUGAUGGCACUAUUCGAUGCUGGAGGGAGGGCAAGCGGCACAAUGCACAUCUGAAGAGAUGGCCCAGGAACUCGAAAGCGAAAUUCGAGUGUGUGUUUAGUGAAGUUGGUGUUGUUAAAGAAGAUGGGUUUUCGAUGCCUGUGAACCCCAGCAGCCAAGAAACCUUGGGUCAUUGUUUCAUAGAGUUUAAUUCUCCUCAGUCCUCAAGGUAUCCAGGGUCUCCUUCCUUGCUUAGUCCCGUA
Rosa chinensis is the source of this 797-nucleotide long non-coding RNA. RefSeq lists it as uncharacterized. The record is from RefSeq and is a predicted model, not a curated record. The transcript is spliced from 6 exons. Lineage: Eukaryota; Viridiplantae; Streptophyta; Magnoliopsida; Rosales; Rosaceae.